This 254-nucleotide ribosomal RNA is filed under the name uncultured bacterium. Its description in RNAcentral is "partial 16S ribosomal RNA". It matches the Rfam family "Bacterial small subunit ribosomal RNA", at positions 524 to 776 of the family's 1533-position model. The record is from RNAcentral.
UACGUAGGGUGCAAGCGUUAUCCGGAAUUAUUGGGCGUAAAGAGCUCGUAGGCGGUUUGUCGCGUCUGCUGUGAAAACUGGAGGCUCAACCUCCAGCCUGCAGUGGGUACGGGCAGACUAGAGUGCGGUAGGGGAGAUUGGAAUUCCCGGUGUAGCGGUGAAAUGCGCAGAUAUCGGGAAGAACACCCGUGGCGAAGGCGGUUCUCUGGGACGGUACUGACGCUGAGACGCGAAAGCGUGGGGGAGCGAACAGG